This 159-nucleotide microRNA precursor is filed under the name Medicago truncatula (barrel medic). RNAcentral's name for it is "MIR2619 microRNA precursor family". It matches the Rfam family "MIR2619 microRNA precursor family". The record is from Rfam by way of RNAcentral. Lineage: Eukaryota; Viridiplantae; Streptophyta; Magnoliopsida; Fabales; Fabaceae.
AAACAGCCCCCUAUGUUUUUAUUCUUUAGCAGUUUUGGACCCUCAAGGCAAAAAAAUGACACGUGACACCUCACUUAGGGUGCCACGUCAGCGUUGACUGGGUCAACAAUGGGCUGGGGGUCCAAAACUGUCAAAGAAUCAAAACAUAGGAGGCUGUUU